This 254-nucleotide ribosomal RNA is filed under the name uncultured bacterium. RNAcentral describes it as "partial 16S ribosomal RNA". It matches the Rfam family "Bacterial small subunit ribosomal RNA", at positions 524 to 777 of the family's 1533-position model. The record is from RNAcentral.
UACGGAGGGGGCUAGCGUUGUUCGGAAUUACUGGGCGUAAAGCGCACGUAGGCGGCUUUGUAAGUUAGAGGUGAAAGCCCAGGGCUUAACCCUGGAAUUGCCUUUAAGACUGCAUCGCUAGAAUCGUGGAGAGGUGAGUGGAAUUCCGAGUGUAGAGGUGAAAUUCGUAGAUAUUCGCAAGAACACCAGUGGCGAAGGCGGCUCACUGGCCCGAUACUGACGCUGAGGCACGAAAGCGUGGGUAGCAAACAGGG